This 479-nucleotide ribosomal RNA is filed under the name uncultured bacterium. RNAcentral's name for it is "partial 16S ribosomal RNA". It matches the Rfam family "Bacterial small subunit ribosomal RNA", at positions 28 to 507 of the family's 1533-position model. The record is from RNAcentral.
GAUGAACGCUAGCGGGAGGCCUAACACAUGCAAGCCGAGCGGUAUUGUUUCUUCGGAAAUGAGAGAGCGGCGUACGGGUGCGUAACACGUGUGCAACCUGCCUUUAUCUGGGGGAUAGCCUUUCGAAAGGAAGAUUAAUACUCCAUAAUAUAUUGAACGGCAUCGUUUAAUAUUGAAAGCUCCGGCGGAUAGAGAUGGGCACGCGCAAGAUUAGCUAGUUGGUGAGGUAACGGCUCACCAAGGCGAUGAUCUUUAGGGGGCCUGAGAGGGUGAUCCCCCAGAGGGGGACUGGGACACGGAGCAGAGUGAUACGGGAGGGAGCAGUGAGGGAGGCUGAAGAAUGGGUGCUAGCAUGAACCAGGGAUCCCGCGUGAAGGACGGCUGCGCGAUGGGUUGUAGACUUCUGUUGGAUAGGGAUAAACCUACGCGCGGGAGGGUAGCUGAAGGUAAUGGACGAAUAAGCACCGGCUAACUACGUG